UACCAGACUCCUACGGGAGGCAGCAGUGGGGGAUAUUGCACAAUGGGGGGAACCCUGAUGCAGCGACGCCGCGUGGGUGAAGAAGUAUUUCGGUAUGUAAAGCUCUAUCAGCAGGGAAGAAAAUGACGGUACCUGACCAAGAAGCCCCGGCUAACUACGUGCCAGCAGCCGCGGUAAUACGUAGGGGGCAAGCGUUAUCCGGAUUUACUGGGUGUAAAGGGAGCGUAGACGGCCAGACAAGUCAGAAGUGAAAGCCCAGGGCUCAACCCUGGGACUGCUUUUGAAACUGCCGGGCUGGAGUGCAGGAGAGGUAAGCGGAAUUCCUAGUGUAGCGGUGAAAUGCGUAGAUAUUAGGAGGAACACCGGCGGCGAAGGCGGCCUGCUGGACCGAAACUGACGUUGAGGCUCGAAAGCGUGGGGAGCAAACAGGAUUAGAUACCCCCGUA
Molecule: ribosomal RNA, 446 nt
Filed under: uncultured bacterium
Lineage: Bacteria
Description: bacterial SSU rRNA
Rfam family: Bacterial small subunit ribosomal RNA
Source: RNAcentral